RNAcentral lists this transfer RNA (76 nucleotides) under Gammaproteobacteria bacterium. RNAcentral's name for it is "tRNA-Lys". It matches the Rfam family "tRNA". From Rfam's summary of the family: Transfer RNA (tRNA) molecules are approximately 80 nucleotides in length. Their secondary structure includes four short double-helical elements and three loops (D, anti-codon, and T loops). Lineage: Bacteria; Pseudomonadati; Pseudomonadota; Gammaproteobacteria. The record is from RNAcentral. RNAcentral also lists the same sequence under 2 other names.
GGGCGCAUAGCUCAGUCGGUAGAGCAGCUGACUCUUAAUCAGCGGGUCCAGGGUUCGAGUCCCUGUGCGCCCUCCA